This 2824-nucleotide long non-coding RNA is filed under the name Sorghum bicolor (sorghum). RNAcentral describes it as "long non-coding RNA (SBIC_LNC006005)". Lineage: Eukaryota; Viridiplantae; Streptophyta; Magnoliopsida; Poales; Poaceae. The record is from RNAcentral.
GAUAACUAAUAAUUUGUAUUAAAAACAUACGGAUCGCACAAUAAAAUAAUAAUACUAUAAAAAAAUAAAUAUUCAAAAAUAAAGUUUGUGAAAUUACAGUAGAGCACAGAUAACAUCAUUUGAAGUCCUCCCAUGAAUAACGAAGACUAGACAAUACGCCUUCCAACAAUCUCAACAGAUUUUUCACCCGAAUAUAUUAAUUGUCCAUGACCUUGGUAUAGGUCAGCUCUCAAAGUAUCCUAAUUGUUCCUCAUGUUUAGUCUAAAACGCGAACUCUCAAUCUUGAUGUAGAUGUCAACUUCGAACUGCUGGAAAACAUACUCACUCCCCUUGCCCAUAUGGAGUCCGAAGUGUAUAGAAUUAGACCACAAUCAUAGUAUAAUACAUUUAAUGGAUAACAUAUAUAAUUUGAACAUGUUAUGAUUUCAACAGAGAAGAAAAAUAUAUGGCUAAAAAUAUCCAACGAGGCUAAAGAAUCCAUAGAUACAUAAAACUUGCUUUAAAUUUUAAGCAACAUUUAGAAGUGAUGGAUCUUGACUUCUGAGCAAACAAACAAGAUAUCCAUCACACAGUGGUGACACAAGAUAUUUCCAUGAAAAUGCAAGAGCACCUUGCUUGAACAUAAGGAUCAAAUCAAUAUGAAUUUUAACUAAAGAUGCCUAAUAAAAAAUGAAAAUCCUUAUCCUCUACCACCCUAUUUCCAUAUGAAUCCUAGCUAACACCUGUUUUCAUACCCCACAGGAUCACAACUCAUAUUCCUUCUCCUAACCUUUUUAUCUUCCCGUUGUAUUUUUAAUAAUUGAAUAUUGACAUGUAGAAAGCAUCCUAUUAUAACCCUAUUAUAAUAGUAUAAAUUAAUAAGCUACUUACCCCUUGUAUAUUAUUCACCUCACUAAAUAGAAAAGGACGCAGCGACCCAAUAGAAACAUAAUAAUGCUCAGUGGGCCAAUGCUUGUAUCAUUGCAAACCACAACGAUCUUUGCAGUCAUCUGGAGAUUUUCAUCCAUACUCAAAGUUGGCCAAUUAUGUAUCUUCCCAUCAGUUAUGAAUCAACUCAUUAUGAGAAUAAAAUGGUCCAGUUUUUUUUUGACAAUUAUAUAACAUCAGCAUAUCCAUUAUCGCAAAAAAAGACAUUUGUGUCUGAAGGUGUCAUUCUUGUAAGGAAUAUCUCCAUAAUCAUCUUUUGGAAUGUUCUAGCAUUCCAGUUAUAUAGGAAAUCAUUGAGCGUCAAAAUUACAUGCAAUCCAAAUAAUACCAUUGCUAAAAAAAGGAUUAUUUUUGCAAGUACAUUAACAGUUUUGUCUUGAUAAUACGAAAUGGCCAUGAUAAUGCACUAAUUAGUAGAGAGGGGCAAAGGCACAUGUGCCUACCUGAGAAGUCAGCAGUAAGCGCUCCAACUUUACUCUUUGUGUCUUCUAUUUCAAAAGGUUCCUCUUUACAAUACUAUUUUGUUUCUCUUGACCUUGCUGUACUGAACACUCCUAUCUCAUUUUAAGAAUCUAGAGGUUUUUGUACUGAUAGCCUGACACUUGGAGUUGUUAUUGGUGGAGAUGGGCAAUCCUCUGAAUCUGUCAUUACUGCAUUCAGAGAGUUCACAGGAUCUAGCCAAGCACAAAGAGUUGUGUAAAUACUGAUACCUCAUAGAGGGAUGCAUUGAAAUAAUGGAAAGUAGUUUCUUGAGUAAGCUGUAAGGCUGGAAGUAAAAGACAGAGGAAUCACCAUAGAAAAUAGUUGGAGACUUGUUAAACUACAUAGUACCUGAUUUUGAACAAGAACAUUGUUCUGACUUUUUUUUAUAAUAACAUUGUUCUGAUUGGCUCUGGGCAAAACCCAUGCUGAAGUAGUUUUUAUUUCUUUAUCUGCAUUGCUAAGUUCCCAAAUCAACGAUUUCAAGUCAUCUGUCCAGUUUCCGACCUGCCAAAGCAGCAACCAAAAAGCGACAGUGAAGAUGCCACGCACAGCAACCAACGAGUUAACAAUUCGACUGAUGUACAUCGGUGGCAUCAACCAUUUUAUUUAACAUUAUGCUAAAUACAGUGCAGGCUAGGGAAUAUGUGAAAACUACUAUGUUACUUAAUCUGCUAAAGGGGAUCAUAAAAACCACAAAAAUUAAUCACCUACAUCCAUAAGUUGGUAACUGCCACCUUGCUUAUGGAUUCAUGAAUCAUACAACCACAUAGUCUAAAUUUGAAUCAUAGUUAAAUCAACCUGAGUUUGGAAAUAAUAUUAAGACAGUAAGAUGGUUUGGUGCACACAAAAUAAUUAGCUAAUUAGACUGAAAGUCUCAUAAUACUAAGAAAGGUAGAUCUUUUCUAACAAUCAAAUAAUGUUUGACUACGAAAGGGUUAACAAUAAUAAUUAAAGUUAAUAUCAACUAAAAUAUCUUGAAUAUGUUUAGCUUAAAUAUAGCUUGAAUGAAAGCUUUCUAAAAUCAGCAGCAAAAAUGGUAGAUUGCCUUCUGGAUAAAGCUCUAAUAAAAUAAAUCCCGCACCAAAAUAGAAUCAAAGCAAUUCAAACAUAUAUAUAUACAGGUACCGAUUAGGAUUCCAGAUGCAGAUCAACAAAGGAAAGACAAUGGUAUAGGCAAUCAUACCUAUCUUCUGAAAUUUGUGAUUCCCCUUAAUAUGACUAUAUGAGUCAAUCUGUUUGCAAAGGUAAUAGACUGAAUAGGCUAAGUACAGAAUCUGAACUGAAACUACUUACAUUUUGUACUAAAAAAUAAGUAAGAGUGAUAAAGUGUAAUAUGUUUAGUCUACUUACUUAGCUGAGUUAUGAAAUGAGCAUGCAAUUCCUGCAGGAUCCAUAAUGACAUAUAUAUUGUCAC